RNAcentral lists this ribosomal RNA (460 nucleotides) under uncultured bacterium. RNAcentral describes it as "partial 16S ribosomal RNA". It matches the Rfam family "Bacterial small subunit ribosomal RNA", at positions 338 to 795 of the family's 1533-position model. The record is from RNAcentral.
CCUACGGGAGGCAGCAGUGAGGAAUAUUGGUCAAUGGACGAGAGUCUGAACCAGCCAAGUAGCGUGAAGGAUGACUGCCCUAUGGGUUGUAAACUUCUUUUAUAAAGGAAUAAAACGAGGCACGUGUGCCUUUUUGCAUGUACUUUAUGAAUAAGGAUCGGCUAACUCCGUGCCAGCAGCCGCGGUAAUACGGAGGAUCCGAGCGUUAUCCGGAUUUGUUGGGUUUAAAGGGAGCGUAGAUGGGUUGUUAAGUCAGUUGUGAAAGUGUGCGGCUCAACCGUAAAAUUGCAAUUGAUACUGGCAGUCUUGAGUACAGUUGAGGUAGGCGGAAUUCGUGGUGUAGCGGUGAAAUGCUUAGAUAUCACGAAGAACUCCGAUUGCGAAGGCAGCUUACUAAACUGCCACUGACAUUGAUGCUCGAAAGUGUGGGUAUCAAACAGGAUUAGAUACCCGUGUAGUC